Long non-coding RNA from Clupea harengus (Atlantic herring), 1021 nucleotides. The record is from Ensembl. NCBI's taxonomy places the organism in Eukaryota, Metazoa, Chordata, Actinopteri, Clupeiformes, Clupeidae.
AGAUCCAUAUAAAUCCAUAUCAUGUAUGUUUUGUGGUUUUGUACUCAGACUGAGGUAGUCUGUCCUGAUGUUUGUGUAGUAAAGGGGUGUGGAGGUGUGUGGUGGGGUGUGGAGGUGGUGUGGUAGGGUGUGGAGGUGGUGUAGUGGUGUGUGGAGGUGUGUGGUGGGGUGUGGAGGUGGUGUAGUGGUGUGUGGAGGUGUGUGGUGGUGUGUGGAGGUGGUGUAGUGGUGUGUGGAGGUGUGUAGUGGUGUGUGGAGGUGAUGUAGUGGUGUGUGGAGGUGGUGUAGUGGUGUGUGGAGGCGUGUGGUGGGGUGUGGAGGUGGUGUAGUGGUGUGUGGAGGUGUGUGGUGGUGUGUGGAGGUGGUGUAGUGGUGUGUGGAGGCGUGUGGAGGUGGUGUAGUGGGGUGUGGAGGUGUGUAGUGGUGUGUGGAGGUGGUGUAGUGGUGUGUGGAGGUGGUGUAGUGGGGUGUGGAGGUGUGUAGUGGUGUGUGGAGGUGGUGUAGUGGUGUGUGGAGGUGGUGUAGUGGUGUGUGGAGGCGUGUGGAGGUGGUGUAGUGGUGUGUGGAGGUGUGUGGAGAUGUGUGGUGGGGUGUGGAGGUGGUGUAGUGGUGUGUGGAGGUGUGUGGUGGGGUGUGGAGGUGGUGUAGUAGUGUGUGGAGGUGUGUGGUGGUGUGUGGAGGUGGUGUAGUGGUGUGUGGAGGUGGUGUAGUGGGGUGUGGAGGCGUGUGGAGGUGGUGUAGUGGUGUGUGGAGGUGGUGUAGUGGCGUGUGGAGGUGGUGUAGUGGUGUGUGGAGGCGUGUGGAGGUGGUGUAGUGGUGUGUGGAGGCGUGUGGAGGUGGUGUAGUGGGGUGUGGAGGUGGUGUAGUGGGGUUUGGAGGUGGUGUGGUGGGGUGUGGAGGUGGUGUAGUGGUGUGUGGAGGUGGUGUAGUGGGAUGUGGAGGUGGUGUGGUGGUGUGUGGAGGUGGUGUAGUGGGGUGUGGAGGGGUGUGGUGGGGUGUGGAGGUGGUGUAGUGGGGUGUG